This 678-nucleotide ribosomal RNA is filed under the name uncultured crenarchaeote. Its description in RNAcentral is "bacterial SSU rRNA". It matches the Rfam family "Archaeal small subunit ribosomal RNA", at positions 102 to 783 of the family's 1478-position model. The record is from RNAcentral. Lineage: Archaea; Thermoproteati; Thermoproteota.
AGUCAACAUGCCCAGGGGACGUGGAUAACCUCGGGAAACUGAGGAUAAACCGCGAUAGGUCAUCACUUCCGGAAUGGGUAAUGACUUAAACCUAUAUGGCCCCUGGAUUGGACUGCGGCCGAUCAGGCUGUUGGUGAGGUAAUGGCCCACCAAACCUGUAACCGGUACGGGCUCUGAGAGGAGGAGCCCGGAGAUGGGCACUGAGACAAGGGCCCAGGCCCUAUGGGGCGCAGCAGGCGCGAAACCUCUGCAAUAGGCGAAAGCUUGACAGGGUUACUCUGAGUGAUUUCCGUUAAGGAGAUCUUUUGGCACCUCUAAAAAUGGUGCAGAAUAAGGGGUGGGCAAGUCUGGUGUCAGCCGCCGCGGUAAUACCAGCACCCCGAGUGGUCGGGACGUUUAUUGGGCCUAAAGCAUCCGUAGCCGGUUCUACAAGUCUUCCGUUAAAUCCACCUGCUUAACAGAUGGGCUGCGGAAGAUACUAUAGAGCUAGGAGGCGGGAGAGGCAAGCGGUACUCGAUGGGUAGGGGUAAAAUCCGUUGAUCCAUUGAAGACCACCAGUGGCGAAGGCGGCUUGCCAGAACGCGCUCGACGGUGAGGGAUGAAAGCUGGGGGAGCAAACCGGAUUAGAUACCCGGGUAGUCCCAGCUGUAAACGAUGCAGACUCGGUGAUGAGUUGGC